AGUGAACGCUGGCGGUAGGCCUAACACAUGCAAGUCGAACGGCAGCACAGUAAGAGCUUGCUCUUACGGGUGGCGAGUGGCGGACGGGUGAGGAAUACAUCGGAAUCUACUUUUUCGUGGGGGAUAACGUAGGGAAACUUACGCUAAUACCGCAUACGACCUACGGGUGAAAGCAGGGGAUCUUCGGACCUUGCGCGAUUGAAUGAGCCGAUGUCGGAUUAGCUAGUUGGCGGGGUAAAGGCCCACCAAGGCGACGAUCCGUAGCUGGUCUGAGAGGAUGAUCAGCCACACUGGAACUGAGAUACGGUCCAGACUCCUACGGGAGGCAGCAGUGGGGAAUAUUGGACAAUGGGCGCAAGCAUGAUCCAGCCAUACCGCGUGGGUGAAGAAGGCCUUCGGGUUGUAAAGCCCUUUUGUUGGGAAAGAAAAGCAGCAGGUUAAUACCCCGCUGUUCUGACGGUACCCAAAGAAUAAGCACCGGCUAACUUCGUG
This 492-nucleotide ribosomal RNA is filed under the name uncultured bacterium. RNAcentral describes it as "partial 16S ribosomal RNA". It matches the Rfam family "Bacterial small subunit ribosomal RNA", at positions 29 to 507 of the family's 1533-position model. The record is from RNAcentral.